UUCAAAGUGAUCACAUCCCAUUGCAGCUACUGACUGCCUUGAGCUAUAGAAUCACACUACUCAUUAUUCUAUUGUAAUUAAUGUAGCAGCAUAAUUUUGUUAUUGGUGUUUGGUUAAGGGUCGAAAACCCCAGAAGCGAUCACAUAACUUUGACAACACGCCCACGCAACUCAUCUAAAACUAUGUGAUAAGGAUCACAAACUAAGAGCUUAAGCAGACUGUACCAACUAGUUUAACUCAUCACAUGUGGAUGUCUUCAGAGCUAAACGUGAUGUUUGUAGGACUUCCUAUUGAGAGGAUUUCCAUUUCGUACAGAUGACGUGAUUAGUGAUUAGUCUUUGCAUUCAGAAGUUCAUCUUUGCGUGGAGUAGUGGAAACCUUGUUAUAUAGAAAGAACAUGAACUUUUUCCCUGAUAAUUGAAAUAAAUGGUGGAACCAAGAGAGUUACAAUAUCUCAAUAUAUUUCAUCUUUAUCACACGCCCUGAAAGAUUAGAAUCAGGGCAGAAGAUUUUGAGAGUGACAUUCUUGCUUUUCUAGAGCUGAAAUUAGUCUGCUUUUACACCAGCUAUACUGAUUUUUGAGGCACUAAAAAAUAACUUCAAUAACCGUAAACAUCACGAGGCUGUAAAUCUGUUUUCAUGGAAUGCUCUAGCUUCGGAUGACAAUGAGAAAAAAUGCUGGUAACUGGUGUCUGUGAUUAGAUAUGUAAUUAUGCUAAGCUAUUACUUUUAGUUCUAAUGAUAUUUUUCAGUGCGAAGGAAUGAGGAUAUCUUCCUUAGGAUAUUGAUAACUCGUUCAUUGUGCUAUUCCCUUUAGGCAUUGAAUUGGUCCUUGGAACUCGUGUAAAAUCAGCUGAUGUGAGACGGAAGACACUGUUGACUGCAAUUGGUGAAACCAUAACCUACAAGAUUCUCAUAGUGGCAACUGGUGCUCGGGUAUCUAAUUUAUCCUUGGUCCGCAACUGGUGAAACCAUAACCUACAAGAUUCUCAUAGUGGCAACUGGUGCUCGGGUAUCUAAUUUAUCCUUGGCCUUUUCUAUUGUAGCACCAUGUUUUGUUGUAUAUUAUCAUGUAUCAAGGUAUUGGAGCAGUGUGAUCUUCUGAUGGAGUGAACAAGGACUAGUAGCUUCUUUUUUAAGUGAUCUGUAGAGAGGUCAGUGGAUUUUGACCAAACGUGAAAGACAACUAUCCUCCACUUAUCAAAAGAAUAAUGAAAAUUCUGCUUUAUAGCAAUACCUUGUUUCUGCAUUAUCUUGUGCAUGUGAUUUUAAAAGUAAACGUAUACAAGCGAACAUCUUAUUUGGUACAUCAGCCUCUGGAAGUACAUUCUUUUUCAACGCGUCUUGAGAAGAAUGUCAAGAAUCAGUAGCAUGAAAUUGGCAUACAAGCAUUUUGAUAUGUGCCUUGUGCCUCCACUCUGUUUCAGAAACUAGGUGUCAAGCUUCUUAGCAUAGAUGUUAGGCUUCAUGGACAUUCAGAUGGGUAGAUUUCUUUUAGUUCUGCAUUGAGAGUUUGAAACAGAAUUGGAUUAAUGAGUGAGCUUUGGAGGUUCAUGCCAAAGGUUUUCUUUGGUAUGGACAAAGUUCAACCUCGAAGACUAAGUCCCUAGUGGACAAUGAAGGAAGAAACUUAUAAAGGCUCUGACUUUUGGUUGGCAUGCACUGUUAGGC
This 1671-nucleotide long non-coding RNA is filed under the name Nicotiana benthamiana. RNAcentral describes it as "long non-coding RNA (NBEN_LNC003832)". Lineage: Eukaryota; Viridiplantae; Streptophyta; Magnoliopsida; Solanales; Solanaceae. The record is from RNAcentral.